Molecule: ribosomal RNA, 465 nt
Filed under: Vreelandella stevensii
Lineage: Bacteria; Pseudomonadati; Pseudomonadota; Gammaproteobacteria; Oceanospirillales; Halomonadaceae
Description: partial 16S ribosomal RNA
Rfam family: Bacterial small subunit ribosomal RNA
Source: RNAcentral
CCUACGGUGCGCUGCAGUGGGGAAUAUUGGACAAUGGGCGAAAGCCUGAUCCAGCCAUGCCGCGUGUGUGAAGAAGGCCUUCGGGUUGUAAAGCACUUUCAGUGGGGAAGAAAGCCUUGGGGCUAAUACCCUCGAGGAAGGACAUCACCCACAGAAGAAGCACCGGCUAACUCCGUGCCAGCAGCCGCGGUAAUACGGAGGGUGCGAGCGUUAAUCGGAAUUACUGGGCGUAAAGCGCGCGUAGGCGGUCUGAUAAGCCGGUUGUGAAAGCCCCGGGCUCAACCUGGGAACGGCAUCCGGAACUGUCAGGCUAGAGUGCAGGAGAGGAAGGUAGAAUUCCCGGUGUAGCGGUGAAAUGCGUAGAGAUCGGGAGGAAUACCAGUGGCGAAGGCGGCCUUCUGGACUGACACUGACGCUGAGGUGCGAAAGCGUGGGUAGCAAACAGGAUUAGAUACCCUAGUAGUC